This is a long non-coding RNA of Lycium barbarum (goji berry), 1896 nucleotides long. RefSeq lists it as uncharacterized. The record is from RefSeq and is a predicted model, not a curated record. The transcript has 2 exons. Lineage: Eukaryota; Viridiplantae; Streptophyta; Magnoliopsida; Solanales; Solanaceae.
UGGCUGUCUUAACGGCAUCAAAGUAAUUUCAACGUGUGCUGCUAGACAAUAAAUUAAAAUUGAUGGCAGUUUCGUCAUUUUAUAAUAAAUCUAGAAUAGACUCAAACACUGACUGAAGAGACACAAACCCAUCCCUUCCAAUACUUCCGGCAAAUGCUCAGUUGUUUUCAUCCUUUCAAACAAGUUCAGUUAUACUCCUCUUCUUUCAUUUAUUUGCUUUUUCAAGCUCUCUUCAGAAAAUUUCCCAAUUUGAUGGGCGAAUCUAAUGGUUGUCGAAAAACAUGCUCCCAAGCAGAUGCCUCGAUUUUCGUUUCGUUUGCAGAGAAACGAUUUACCUCAGAAAUUGAGCAAGUCUGGGAAAAGAGACAGCAAAUCAAGCUGCAGAUAAUUUGAAUGAAGUUCUCAAUUAUUUGGAUCUAAGGAGAAAAGAGAGCUCCAAUAGAGGCUAAUAGGUUGAAGGCAUUGCUAAGAGCUGUUUCUCUACUGCUUUAAUCAAGUCUACUUGAUUGUUUCUACAUAAAGCCCGAUAAAGAUUGGUAAGUUGUUAUUAUAGCGUAUCUUACUUUUCUGUAGCAGAUUUUUCUGGAUUUGCUUAUGCAUGAGACCAUUUGAGCAAUUUCUAUGUAGAUUGAUGAAAAUAUUUUCAUGCGAAAAACUCAACUUUUAUAUAUAUUGACCAAUAGAAACAUCUAAUCGCAUGAGUCUAUCUUUGUAUCUUUUUCAAUUUUGUUGGAACAGUUGACUUCAUUUCUUUGUAAUAACUAUUUUUGUAUAAUCUAUUGAACAGUAACGAGAGGAUGGUCAUGUAUCGUUUGUCAGAUUAAGAAUCUGUCCAUUUUUGCCUACUUAUGUUGCUUCUGUUGGAAUAAUACUUAACUGUCCUAAUACUUGGUUGAAUUUGAACUAAAAGUACAAAUUGUCGAGUUCAAGUGCUCUUCAUGAUGCUUAGAUUCGUAGUUCCAAUGUAUUUCUUAGGACUACUUAACAAGUAACAUAAGAGGUGCAAACUUGAAUUAUCCGAAGCUAAAUGUUGGUCUCCUUCAAGUUGUCAUGUCCAUCGAUCUCAUGUCAUCCCCUCCAUUCCUUUAAUAUAUUAUCUGCAUUUCAUGUUUAUUUCAUCUUGUAGUAGAAAAAUUGGUAAAUGCAGAGACACUUUUUUCGAUAGGUGGACACUACUCUGGAAUUAGUUGAAGCCUAGAUGAACUGUCUACUAAUUGUGAAAUGAAUUCUGAGCUCUGGUAAGUGCUCUGCAGUUGAGUUGAUGUGGUGUCACUUUGUUUUGUUGAUAAUCUGCUAAAGUUAGAUAUUUACUAAUGCCUUUUGCUUUUCAGACAAAGUGUCCUUAUGCAUUACUUUACUUUUUUCAGAUUGUAAAAUUCAAUAGGAAACUCAAGAAGUGUUACUACAAAGUGAAUCUACAUCCUUUGUGUUAGUUUCAAGUAUUGUAUUGAACAUUAUACUUAUCGCGGACUUUUUCAAUGACAAUGAUUAGAUUUUCUAAAUAUUUAAAGUAUGUGGUAUCAUUGUUUGUAUUAUAGACGUUCUUACUUUUCAGAUGUGACGUUUUUGUUUUGUUUUUCAUUAUGUUCAGAUAAAUAUAGCCUGCUGAAGCUGGCGCUCUAGAUCUUUCCUCCCUAGCCACUUCUGCAUAGAGGAGGAUAAUAUAAUUCUUCACUCCAACCCUGGAAGGCAGGGAGCUCACCAAGUAAGUUAGGCUCAACCGUUAAUCUGUACCAGGAAUACUAGAACAAAUGCUAUUUGAAUUUUAUUGGCCUUAUUUAAUAUUUUUUUUGUAGUUUAGUAACUAAACCGACUCAUUUUUCGUGUUGCACGGGCUUGCCACCGUCUAGUAAUCUUAUCAACAUUCAUUAUUUAUAAAGUAUGCAUCCAAUAGUA